RNAcentral lists this transfer RNA (74 nucleotides) under Candidatus Aenigmatarchaeota archaeon. RNAcentral describes it as "tRNA-Thr". It matches the Rfam family "tRNA". Rfam says of the family: Transfer RNA (tRNA) molecules are approximately 80 nucleotides in length. Their secondary structure includes four short double-helical elements and three loops (D, anti-codon, and T loops). The record is from RNAcentral. Lineage: Archaea; Nanobdellati; Candidatus Aenigmatarchaeota.
GCCUCAAUAGCUCAGCCCGGUAGAGCACUUCCAUGGUAAGGAAGGGGUCCUGGGUUCAAAUCCCAGUUGAGGCU